This 2492-nucleotide long non-coding RNA is filed under the name Equus asinus (donkey). Its description in RNAcentral is "lncRNA (ENSEASG00005031730.1)". Lineage: Eukaryota; Metazoa; Chordata; Mammalia; Perissodactyla; Equidae. The record is from RNAcentral.
AACAACUAAUGUGUACCAUUUUUGAAAUAGGCCUUCCUUCUCUUUGUUGGGGUCUCUGGGGGGACUCCAAUGUACGGAAACCCUCCUUCCCCCUUGGUUCUGAUCAAGUUAAUAAGCUACAACAAAAAACGAGGCAGAAGAGGUCCAAAAUUACCUGUAUUGCUGGGAUAGGGCCUCUAGGUCUGCCACGUGGGUCUGCUAAUACUGAAUUAGAAUUAGGCAGGUAAAUCAGCAGCAACGCACGGAGGAGGCCGUGAGAGGAGCAUUCGUGCCCUGAAGCCAGGACAGUCCCAGGGGUGGUCUGAGCCAAGCACACCCAGUUCUUCUUCCCAAACUUAGCAGUCAGUUCACUCUCUCUACCUCUUCAGGAUCAGUGAGAGUAAAGGGAAAAGAGGAGGUUAAGACAGGAGCUCAGAGAAAAAUCCUUUUUAUGGAAAAUGGGAAUGAGAAAAGGUAUUUUCUUUUUUCAAGUUUUUAAAAAAAAUAGGAGUAUAAAAUUUCAAAACUCAGAAAAAGAGAACAAUGCAAGAGUUGUACAACACAACUUUGUUGUCAUAUCCAGACGUAUGCAGAAGAGAGUUCACAUAGCAGCGCUGAGACCGUUCUCUGUAGAGAGGCCGGCUUGCGAGAUUGGCCUUUGACUGGUGUCUGGGAACCUUGGGUUUUGAAAAGGUUCCCAUCAUGGCUGCAACUGGUGGAGUAGUCACUGUGCCUGAAUGGUACAAACAAUGUGGUUUGUGCUGAACACCUGUCUUCCUUCUGGGCGUCUGGAAUUUUGGUAUGUGCUAGGCAGAGGGUGCCUGCAUGACCGGCCCCCAACAAGAAUAGGCAAUGAGUCUCUAACGAGCGACCAUCAUACACAACACUUCACGUGUGUUGUUACAACUUGUUGCUGGGAUAAUUAAGUGCAUCCUCUGGGACUCAUCUAGAAGAGGACUCUUGGAAGUUUGUGCCUGGUUUCUUCUAGACUUUUCUCCAUAUGACUUUUCCUCUGCUGAUUUUGCUUUGUAGUCUUUCACCGUAAUAAAUCUAAGCUGUGAGUAUGACUAUAUGCUGAGACCUAUGAGUCCUAUUAGAGAAUCAUCAAAACUGAGGGUGGUCUGGGGGACCACUGAUAUAAUGUGGCAAGUGGUUUCUAUUGUCCCUUUGGUUCUCAGCCAUUUCUUGAAACAAGAGUGAUUGUCUGAAGAAGGACAGUGAGGCUUAACAGACUUGGAAGGAAGAUAACAUGGAGGCUAUAUGUCCAUGGUCUACGGUGGAUUGUAUUAGGUUAAUUUAGCUAAGCUGAAAUUGUGUUUUCUUGAAUUUAAUUUCCUGCAUUGUUCUGAGUUAGCACUGGUCAUGAGAGAUAUUUUGCACAAGGUUUGGAAGGCAGAAGUGGAAUAGCAGUUAUCUGGCUUUUUAUGCUCUGAAGUUUAGUGAAGCUCUGUUGUAAUCAUGUAUGUUGUCACUUAUCCACUGGCUUUUCUGGUUGGCAUAGGACAGCAGCUGGGCUUGCAUCAACUGCAACUCCUGCCUCAUCCUCCUUUAGCCUCUCCACCUCCUGGGCCAGAUGUGUGUUUGGCUUUAUGAUGGAGGGCACCAGUGUCUCCUGCAGGGCACACCCAUCAUCAAAAUUGGAGACUUGGAGGUGGUGAAAACCAAAGCAGGUUCCAGUCCAUCUCUGUGGGUUCCAUAUCAGUGUUGCUGGUUUUGGGAGAGGCAAUCCAUCAUGGACUCUCCAUGUCCCUGUUCUUGCUGGGUAUGCCGAGAAUAUACGUCUCCACUUACUUGGGCAUUUCUCAGGAUUGUGUUUACAGCAGGCACCUCUGAGGAUGAGACAAUGUCUCCUUCUGGGACAAAGAAUGGACUUGCUUAAUGUUUACUAUGCUUACUUACUUUGGUGAAUUCUCCAAACUCAGUGUUUCUUAGCUGUGAUGCAAAUUCACCGUAUAUGCAGUAUCUAGCUGGGUCCCUCGGCAUUGCCCCAUGGGAGGCGAGGGGAGCCAAGACAAACGUGAUGUUCAUGCUGCUUGCUGUAUUGCGAGUAACACAGUUCUUUAUCUCUGACCCAGGAGACGUGCGUCUUCUGCCAGAAUCCACGGAACAGUAGAAGGCUAACUUCUUAAUUUAUUAGAUGCCUACGCGAACCUGCCACAGAGACUUCCAUGGUUGCUUACGGUUGUUUUCAAGAUGGGUUGGCUGUUGUUAUUUUUCAUUUGGUUGCUUUGUUUUGCUUUGUUUUCAUUUUUAACUUCAUGUGGGACUGAGAAGAUGGAUUAAAGCAAAAGUAUACUGAAUCUUUGUAGCCUUCCUAAUUUUUUGGCUUUUUAAAGAUUUUUCUUGACUUUGACUUUUUCCUUUCUGGAGGUUUUACAUCCCUUUUCUGGUAUGUUUUAAUUAUCCCAGUAAACAGGCCCUACGUGGCAAGAUCUUUUGUAACAAUUCCUUCAUCUUAGUUUUCUGUUUUUCUAACCUUUGUUUCUUUGUCUUCUUAAUCCCUGAAAGAUUUC